AUUGAACGCUGGCGGCAGGCCUAACACAUGCAAGUCGAACGGUAACAGGAAGCAGCUUGCUGCUUUGCUGACGAGUGGCGGACGGGUGAGUAAUGUCUGGGAAACUGCCUGAUGGAGGGGGAUAACUACUGGAAACGGUAGCUAAUACCGCAUAACGUCGCAAGACCAAAGAGGGGGACCUUCGGGGCUCUUGCCAUCGGAUGUGCCCAGAUGGGAUUAGCUAGUAGGUGGGGUAAAGGCUCACCUAGGCGACGAUCCCUAGCUGGUCUGAGAGGAUGACCAGCCACACUGGAACUGAGACACGGUCCAGACUCCUACGGGAGGCAGCAGUGGGGAAUAUUGCACAAUGGGCGCAAGCCUGAUGCAGCCAUGCCGCGUGUAUGAAGAAGGCCUUCGGGUUGUAAAGUACUUU
RNAcentral lists this ribosomal RNA (412 nucleotides) under uncultured Escherichia sp. Its description in RNAcentral is "bacterial SSU rRNA". It matches the Rfam family "Bacterial small subunit ribosomal RNA", at positions 30 to 436 of the family's 1533-position model. Lineage: Bacteria; Pseudomonadati; Pseudomonadota; Gammaproteobacteria; Enterobacterales; Enterobacteriaceae. The record is from RNAcentral.